CUUGGAGGCCGUGGCGCAGGACGCGGAGCCCUUCUGGCGCCGGAUCACGUCUCGGACUACCUCCCCCAGGCACGGGCUCUCUGCAGAGGGCAGAAGAGCCCCGAUGGAACAAGGCAAUGAUAGAAUGAGUAACAGUCUCCGGGCCAGGAUCCUCGGCCACACGGCCUUGGACAAGUCACUUGUCAUCCCUGAGCCUCAACUUCCCUCGUCUGGAAAAUGGUGACACAUGUCCUGGACCUUCCUGCUACUUCAUGGGCUGCGGUGGGGUCCGAGGAGAUUGCAAACGCCGUAAGGCUUGAUGCAUUUUAAAGCCUGAGGUGAGUCAUGUGAGGUCAUGUGAAUUUUGUUAAGCUUGAGAGACUUGUUAAAAAUUACGAGAUUGUUAAAAAGAUCAGAAAGAGACUGAUGAUUAAGUGUGUGCGUGGUGUUGGGAGAGGGCCAGGGUGCGGAUGCGGCAGCGUGCUAACCGGUCACUGGUUCGGCCUCAAGGCAACAGGGAUGCUGUUUCUAUUGGUCUGGCGAUUUUUCUGUUAGAUCAGAAAUUAUUUCAAAAUACAUUAUUUAACAGAAAUGGUUAAGAAUGGGUUUCAGCAAGGUAUAAAAUGUCAGAGAGUCCUCUAGUGAUUGAUGGGGGCGUAGGGUGGGCUGCCUGGGGUUCUGGUGGCAGGGAGGAAGACGUCUGAGUUUCCGUGCAGGAGAAAAACCUUCCCCUGUGAGACAGAACCAUUUCAUUUGUAAUAGAAUUUAAUUUUAAUUUGGCUUUUUUUUAAGCUGACCUCAAAAAGUAAUACACUCAGGGGCCACUCAGUGAGCUAAGGAGAAGGUGAUGUUUUUGAAAAAGGAUCAGAUCAAGGAAGGGUCUCCUGUUGACCCAGCGGUGGCAGGACGACGGGAAUGCUGACGUCUGGAAGACGCACCGAGGGCUCCUGCUAAAAUGUGGGUCCUGCUUCCAAAGGUCUGGACUGAGCCCGAGUGUCUGCAUUUCUAAUAAGCUCCCAGGUGAGUCCGUGGUGCUGGUCAGCAGUCCACACUGGCAGCUCAAGAGCCAGCAGUUGGGAGGGGAAGGGAGGGGAGGGGGGAGGCGGGGGAGAAGGAACAACCCAGAUGGCUCAUGCAGCCCUGGCUGCUGGCAACCUUGAGAGACCCCUAGCUAAGCCAUUUCUGAAUCCUUGACCCCCAAGAACCGUAUGGGAUAGAACAUGUUUUAUGUGGCUUUGAACAGCUAUGUGGUGGGGCUUGUUUGUUAUUGCAGCAAGAGAGACAAUGGAUACAGGAA
This is a non-coding RNA of Sus scrofa (pig), 1276 nucleotides long. The record is from RefSeq and is a predicted model, not a curated record. NCBI's taxonomy places the organism in Eukaryota, Metazoa, Chordata, Mammalia, Artiodactyla, Suidae.